Molecule: long non-coding RNA, 348 nt
Filed under: Linum usitatissimum (flax)
Lineage: Eukaryota; Viridiplantae; Streptophyta; Magnoliopsida; Malpighiales; Linaceae
Description: long non-coding RNA (LUSI_LNC005992)
Source: RNAcentral
UCCUUCUGGCUCCCUCGAGAUCGUUGUACUUCAUCUCGUCAUUUUCACUUUCCGUACCAAGAAACCACUAACAAAUCUUUUACAAAUCUUAGCUUGGUCUUCCACCUUUUUUAUUAUUCCAGACACCAAUUGAUUGUGACGUCCGGAUACUAGCAUUAUCGCCAACUUCAUUCAUGCUAAAUUGCUUUUAAUCUGCAUUGUCAAAUUCAAGACAGCCUUAGACUCCACACGUAGCCAGUAAUAUUCAACAACGGAAAUACAAUGUCUAUUUAUUUUACCGACCCAUUAUAAAUAUUGGGUGCAUCUGCUAUGGCCUGCAGCAUUCACUGGCACACCCACAAUCCAUAG